AGUGAACGCUGGCGGUGGGCCUAACACAUGCAAGUCGAACGGCAGCACAGUAAGAGCUUGCUCUUACGGGUGGCGAGUGGCGGACGGGUGAGGAAUACAUCGGAAUCUACUUUUUCGUGGGGGAUAACGUAGGGAAACUUACGCUAAUACCGCAUACGACCUACGGGUGAAAGCAGGGGAUCUUCGGACCUUGCGCGAUUGAAUGAGCCGAUGUCGGAUUAGCUAGUUGGCGGGGUAAAGGCCCACCAAGGCGACGAUCCGUAGCUGGUCUGAGAGGAUGAUCAGCCACACUGGAACUGAGACACGGUCCAGACUCCUACGGGAGGCAGCAGUGGGGAAUAUUGGACAAAGGGCGCAAGCCUGAUCCAGCCAUACCGCGUGGGUGAAGAAGGCCUUCGGGUUGUAAAGCCCUUUUGUUGGGUAAGAAAAGCAGCAGGUUAAUACCCCGCUGUUCUGACGGUACCCAAAGAAUAAGCACCGGCUAACUUCGUG
This 492-nucleotide ribosomal RNA is filed under the name uncultured bacterium. RNAcentral's name for it is "partial 16S ribosomal RNA". It matches the Rfam family "Bacterial small subunit ribosomal RNA", at positions 29 to 507 of the family's 1533-position model. The record is from RNAcentral.